Molecule: non-coding RNA, 189 nt
Organism: Caenorhabditis elegans
Lineage: Eukaryota; Metazoa; Nematoda; Chromadorea; Rhabditida; Rhabditidae
Source: Ensembl
AAACAGUAGCAUUGUGUAUAAACACGCCAUGACGGCAGCUAGCAUCUAGUAAUCGGUCACCGAAUCGCCGUCGCCACCGCCGUCCGCUUUUGAAUAGCGGUCAGUGCGCGUUCGUCAAUAGCUCGAUGAACCGUUACACUCUCCCAGUUUUUAGUUUCUGUUUCAUUUUCUGUUUCAUGCCUGGUUUUU